Molecule: ribosomal RNA, 330 nt
Filed under: uncultured bacterium
Lineage: Bacteria
Description: bacterial SSU rRNA
Rfam family: Bacterial small subunit ribosomal RNA
Source: RNAcentral
GAGCGCUGUAGCAAUACAGAGCGGCGCACGGGUGAGUAACACGUGGGAACGUGCCCUUUGGUUCGGAAUAACUCAGGGAAACUUGAGCUAAUACCGGAUGAGCCCUAACGGGGAAAGAUUUAUCGCCGAAGGAGCGGCCCGCGUCGGAUUAGCUAGUUGGUGGGGUAAAAGCCUACCAAGGCAACGAUCCGUAGCUGGUUUGAGAGAACGACCAGCCACACUGGGACUGAGACACGGCCCAGACUCCUACGGGAGGCAGCAGUGGGGAAUCUUGGACAAUGGGGGAAACCCUGAUCCAGCCAUGCCGCGUGAGUGAUGAAGGCCCUAGGG